This is an RNA transcript of Nannospalax galili (Upper Galilee mountains blind mole rat), 394 nucleotides long. It is a transcript of the gene named thymosin beta-10 pseudogene, with no coding region annotated. The transcript has a single exon. The record is from RefSeq and is a predicted model, not a curated record. NCBI's taxonomy places the organism in Eukaryota, Metazoa, Chordata, Mammalia, Rodentia, Spalacidae.
AAUAUGGCAGACAAGCCAGACAUGGGAGAAAUUGCCAGCUUCCAUAAGGCCAAGCUGAAGAAAACCGAGACGCAGGAAAAGAACACCCUGCUGACCAAAGAGACCAUUGAGCAGGAAAAGCGGAGUGAAAUUUCCUAAAAGCCUAGACUGGAGGAUUUCCCCACCCCACCCCACCCCUGUGAUCUCCGAGACCCCCCUCAUGAUGUGGAGGAAGAGCCACCUGCAGGAUGGACACCACAAGCUGCACUGUGAACCCGGGCACUCCAUGCCAAUGCCACCGGCUCCUGGGUCUCUGAAGGGGGCCCCAUCCCCAAUCAGACUGCCAAAUUUCACCGAUUUGCCCUGGGAUUUUAUAGAAAAUUAUUUGUAUGAUUAAUGAAAAUAAAACACACCU